RNAcentral lists this ribosomal RNA (599 nucleotides) under Desulfosporosinus sp. G400IV. RNAcentral's name for it is "partial 16S ribosomal RNA". The record is from RNAcentral. Lineage: Bacteria; Bacillati; Bacillota; Clostridia; Eubacteriales; Desulfitobacteriaceae.
UUGCGGCCGUACUCCCCAGGCGGAGUGCUUAUUGUGUUAACUGCGGCACAGAAGGGGUCGAUACCCUCUACACCUAGCACUCAUCGUUUACGGCGUGGACUACCAGGGUAUCUAAUCCUGUUUGCUCCCCACGCUUUCGCGCCUCAGCGUCAGUUACAGUCCAGAAAGUCGCCUUCGCCACUGGUGUUCCUCCUAAUAUCUACGCAUUUCACCGCUACACUAGGAAUUCCACUUUCCUCUCCUGUCCUCAAGAUACCCAGUUUCCGAUGCACUCUCAGGGUUGAGCCCUGAUCUUUCACACCGGACUUAAAUAUCCGCCUACGCGCCCUUUACGCCCAAUAAUUCCGGACAACGCUUGCCCCCUACGUAUUACCGCGGCUGCUGGCACGUAGUUAGCCGGGGCUUCCUCCUUGGGUACCGUCAUAUUGUCUCAAUAUUUUCAAGACAAUCGUUCUUCCCCAAAGACAGUACUUUACAAUCCGAAGACCUUCAUCAUACACGCGGCGUUGCUCCGUCAGACUUUCGUCCAUUGCGGAAGAUUCCCCACUGCUGCCUCCCGUAGAGUCUGGGCCGUGUCUCAGUCCCAGUGUGGCCGUUUA